AACGCUAGCUACAGGCUUAACACAUGCAAGUCGAGGGGCAGCAUAGAAUCAGCUUGCUGAUUUUGAUGGCGACCGGCGCACGGGUGAGUAACGCGUAUCCAAUCUGUCCAUUACUCUGGGAUAGCCUUUCGAAAGAAAGAUUAAUACUGGAUAGUUUUAUAAAUUCGCAUGUUUUUAUAAAUAAAGAUUUAUCGGUAAUGGUUGAGGAUGCGUUCCAUUAGAUAGUAGGUGAGGUAACGGCUCACCUAGUCAGCGAUGGAUAGGGGUUCUGAGAGGAAGGUCCCCCACAUUGGAACUGAGACACGGUCCAAACUCCUACGGGAGGCAGCAGUGAGGAAUAUUGGUCAAUGGACGCAAGUCUGAACCAGCCAAGUAGCGUGAAGGAUGACUGCCCUAUGGGUUGUAAACUUCUUUUAUAAGGGAAUAAAAAAGUCUACGUGUAGACUAUUGUAUGUACCUUAAGAAUAAGGACCGGCUAAUUCCGUGCCAGCAGCCGCGGUAAUACGGAAGGUCCGAGCGUUAUCCGGAUUUAUUGGGUUUAAAGGGAGCGUAGGCGGAAGAUUAAGUCAGCGGUCAAAUGGAGUGGCUCAACCAUUCCCUGCCGUUGAAACUGGUUUUCUUGAGUUCACACAAGGUAGAUGGAAUUCGUGGUGUAGCGGUGAAAUGCUUAGAUAUCACGAAGAACUCCGAUUG
This 693-nucleotide ribosomal RNA is filed under the name uncultured bacterium. RNAcentral describes it as "bacterial SSU rRNA". It matches the Rfam family "Bacterial small subunit ribosomal RNA", at positions 32 to 715 of the family's 1533-position model. The record is from RNAcentral.